This 897-nucleotide ribosomal RNA is filed under the name fungal sp. RNAcentral's name for it is "eukaryotic LSU rRNA". The stretch from base 412 to 897 matches the Rfam family "Eukaryotic large subunit ribosomal RNA", at positions 1 to 493 of the family's 3401-position model. The record is from RNAcentral. Lineage: Eukaryota; Fungi.
UGAAACGGGCCGCCCCCGCCAGAGGACCCUUAACUCUGUUUCUAUAAUGUUUCUUCUGAGUAAAACAAGCAAAUAAAUUAAAACUUUCAACAACGGAUCUCUUGGCUCUGGCAUCGAUGAAGAACGCAGCGAAAUGCGAUAAGUAAUGUGAAUUGCAGAAUUCAGUGAAUCAUCGAAUCUUUGAACGCACAUUGCGCCCGCCAGUAUUCUGGCGGGCAUGCCUGUUCGAGCGUCAUUACAACCCUCAGGCCCCCGGGCCUGGCGUUGGGGAUCGGCGGAGCCUCUCUGUGGGCACACGCCGUCCCCCAAAUACAGUGGCGGUCCCGCCGCAGCUUCCAUCGCGUAGUAGCUAACACCUCGCGACUGGAGAGCGGCGCGGCCACGCCGUAAAACACCCAACUCUUCUGAAGUUGACCUCGAAUCAGGUAGGAAUACCCGCUGAACUUAAGCAUAUCAAUAAGCGGAGGAAAAGAAACCAACAGGGAUUGCCUCAGUAACGGCGAGUGAAGCGGCAACAGCUCAAAUUUGAAAUCUGGCUCUCGGGCCCGAGUUGUAAUUUGUAGAGGAUGCUUUUGGUGAGGUGCCUUCCGAGUUCCCUGGAACGGGACGCCAUAGAGGGUGAGAGCCCCGUCUGGUUGGACGCCGAACCUCUGUAAAGCUCCUUCGACGAGUCGAGUAGUUUGGGAAUGCUGCUCUAAAUGGGAGGUAUAUGUCUUCUAAAGCUAAAUACCGGCCAGAGACCGAUAGCGCACAAGUAGAGUGAUCGAAAGAUGAAAAGAACUUUGAAAAGAGAGUUAAACAGUACGUGAAAUUGUUGAAAGGGAAGCGCUUGUGACCAGACUUGGGCUUGGUUGAUCAUCCGGGGUUCUCCCCGGUGCACUCUUCCGGCCCAGGCCG